UGUGUAGGCGGUGCUCUAAGUUUGGUGUGAAAUCUCCCGGCUUAACUGGGAGGGUGCGCCGAAAACUGGAGUGCUUGAGUAUGGGAGAGGUAAGCGGAAUUCCUGGUGUAGCGGUGAAAUGCGUAGAUAUCAGGAGGAACACCUGUGGUGUAGACAGCUUACUGGACCAUCACUGACGCUGAGACACGAAAGCGUGGGUAGCAAACA
This 207-nucleotide ribosomal RNA is filed under the name uncultured bacterium. RNAcentral describes it as "partial 16S ribosomal RNA". It matches the Rfam family "Bacterial small subunit ribosomal RNA", at positions 568 to 774 of the family's 1533-position model. The record is from RNAcentral.